CACUAGUGAUUCAGCCGCCGCGGUAAUUCGGGAGUGGCAAGCGUUAUCCGGAAUUAUUGGGCGUAAAGCGUCCGCAGGCGGCCCUUCAAGUCUGCUGUUAAAACGUGGAGCUUAACUCCAUCAUGGCAGUGGAAACUGUUGGGCUUGAGUGUGGUAGGGGCAGAGGGAAUUCCCGGUGUAGCGGUGAAAUGCGUAGAUAUCGGGAAGAACACCAGUGGCGAAGGCGCUCUGCUGGGCCAUAACUGACGCUCAUGGACGAAAGCCAGGGGAGCGAAAGGGAUUAGAUACCCCUGUAGUCCUGGCCGUAAACGAUGAACACUAGGUGUCGGGGGAAUCGACCCCCUCGGUGUCGUAGCCAACGCGUUAAGUGUUCCGCCUGGGGAGUACGCACGCAAGUGUGAAACUCAAAGGAAUUGAUGGGGGCCCGCACAAGCGGUGGAGUAUGUGGUUUAAUUCGAUGCAACGCGAAGAACCUUACCAGGGUUUGACAUCCUGCGAAUCUCUUGGAAACGAGAGAGUGCCUUCGGGAGCGCAGUGACAGGUGGUGCAUGGCUGUCGUCAGCUCGUGUCGUGAGAUGUUGGGUUAAGUCCCGCAACGAGCGCAACCCACGUCUUUAGUUGCCAGCAUUUAGUUGGGCACUCUAGAGAGACCGCCGGUGAUAAACCGGAGGAAGGUGUGGAUGACGUCAAGUCAUCAUGCCCCUUACAUCCUGGGCUACACACGUACUACAAUGCUACGGACAAAGAGCAGCAAGUUCGCGAGGACAAGCAAAUCUCAUAAACCGUGGCUCAGUUCAGAUCGUAGGCUGCAACUCGCCUACGUGAAGGAGGAAUCGCUAGUAAUCGCAGGUCAGCAUACUGCGGUGAAUACGUUCCCGGGCCUUGCACACACCGCCCGUCA
This 901-nucleotide ribosomal RNA is filed under the name uncultured Synechococcus sp. RNAcentral's name for it is "bacterial SSU rRNA". It matches the Rfam family "Bacterial small subunit ribosomal RNA", at positions 498 to 1399 of the family's 1533-position model. Lineage: Bacteria; Bacillati; Cyanobacteriota; Cyanophyceae; Synechococcales; Synechococcaceae. The record is from RNAcentral.